This 301-nucleotide ribosomal RNA is filed under the name uncultured bacterium. RNAcentral describes it as "partial 16S ribosomal RNA". It matches the Rfam family "Bacterial small subunit ribosomal RNA", at positions 509 to 807 of the family's 1533-position model. The record is from RNAcentral.
CAGCAGCCGCGGGAAAACAGAGGGUGCGAGCGUUAAUCGGAUUUACUGGGCGUAAAGCGUGCGUAGGCGGCUUCUUAAGUCGGAUGUGAAAUCCCUGAGCUUAACUUAGGAAUUGCAUUCGAUACUGGGAAGCUAGAGUAUGGGAGAGGAUGGUAGAAUUCCAGGUGUAGCGGUGAAAUGCGUAGAGAUCUGGAGGAAUACCGAUGGCGAAGGCAGCCAUCUGGCCUAAUACUGACGCUGAGGUACGAAAGCAUGGGGAGCAAACAGGAUUAGAGACCCGUGUAGUCCCUGUCUCUUAUAC